ACGAGGGAGGAGCUUACACCCUGGUUGGAGGAUGAGGAGGCGUUUGCGCGGGGAGCCCCAUCUGGGGAAGGCAGUCUUUCAGGUGGGGUCUCUCCUUGAGUCUGGAGCUCACCAGUAGGCUAGACUGGUUGAUCAGUAAGCUCCAAGCAUCCACCCAUCUCCAUCUGCAAAUGUUGGAGCCACAGGCAUGAACCAUACCUAACUGGGCAAAAUGUAAAGUUUUACAAGGAAGAAGUUGAUUAGGAAACACUGAAUGGCACCAACUCUGAGAGUUAUUCCUGAGAUGUUACUGCAAAUCACACUGAAGGGGAUCAGAAAAGUUUGAGGGGAAGCCUGCCGAAACCAGAGGACAAUUUCCAGAGCCAAGUUACGGAAUGCUGCCCCACUGGCCACUCUCAUCAGGGACUUGAUAAAGACAUGGAAGGAAGACAAGCUUAUC
Long non-coding RNA from Mus caroli (Ryukyu mouse), 439 nucleotides. RefSeq lists it as uncharacterized. NCBI's taxonomy places the organism in Eukaryota, Metazoa, Chordata, Mammalia, Rodentia, Muridae. The record is from RefSeq and is a predicted model, not a curated record.